Molecule: ribosomal RNA, 407 nt
Filed under: uncultured bacterium
Lineage: Bacteria
Description: bacterial SSU rRNA
Rfam family: Bacterial small subunit ribosomal RNA
Source: RNAcentral
UGGGGAAUAUUGCACAAUGGGCGCAAGCCUGAUGCAGCGACGCCGCGUGGGGGAUGACGGCCUUCGGGUUGUAAACCUCUUUCAGCAGGGACGAAGGGUGACUGACGGUACCUGUAGAAGAAGCACCGGCCAACUACGUGCCAGCAGCCGCGGUAAUACGUAGGGUGCGAGCGUUGUCCGGAAUUACUGGGCGUAAAGAGCUCGUAGGUGGUUUGUCGCGUUGUUCGUGAAAACUCACAGCUUAACUGUGGGCGUGCGGGCGAUACGGGCAGACUGGAGUACUGCAGGGGAGACUGGAAUUCCUGGUGUAGCGGUGGAAUGCGCAGAUAUCAGGAGGAACACCGGUGGCGAAGGCGGGUCUCUGGGCAGUAACUGACGCUGAGGAGCGAAAGCGUGGGGAGCGAACA